GGUGCUUGCAUCAUGAUUUACAUUUGAGUGAGUGGCGAACUGGUGAGUAACACGUGGGAAACCUGCCCAGAAGCGGGGGAUAACACCUGGAAACAGAUGCUAAUACCGCAUAACAACUUGGACCGCAUGGUCCGAGUUGAAAGAUGGCUUCGGCUAUCACUUUUGGAUGGUCCCGCGGCGUAUUAGCUAGAUGGUGGUAACGGCUCACCAUGGCAAUGAUACGUAGCCGACCUGAGAGGGUAAUCGGCCACAUUGGGACUGAGACACGGCCCAAACUCCUACGGGAGGCAGCAGUAGGGAAUCUUCCACAAUGGACGAAAGUCUGAUGGAGCAACGCCGCGUGAGUGAAGAAGGGUUUCGGCUCGUAAAACUCUGUUGUUAAAGAAGAACAUAUCUGAGAGUAACUGUUCAGGUAUUGACGGUAUUUAACCAGAAAGCCACGGCUAACUACGUGCCAGCAGCCGCGGUAAUACGUAGGUGGCAAGCGUUGUCCGGAUUUAUUGGGCGUAAAGCGAGCGCAGGCGGUUUUUUAAGUCUGAUGUGAAAGCCUUCAGCUCA
RNAcentral lists this ribosomal RNA (558 nucleotides) under Lactiplantibacillus plantarum. RNAcentral describes it as "bacterial SSU rRNA". It matches the Rfam family "Bacterial small subunit ribosomal RNA", at positions 64 to 611 of the family's 1533-position model. Lineage: Bacteria; Bacillati; Bacillota; Bacilli; Lactobacillales; Lactobacillaceae. The record is from RNAcentral.